Molecule: ribosomal RNA, 465 nt
Filed under: Streptococcus parasanguinis
Lineage: Bacteria; Bacillati; Bacillota; Bacilli; Lactobacillales; Streptococcaceae
Description: bacterial SSU rRNA
Rfam family: Bacterial small subunit ribosomal RNA
Source: RNAcentral
GAUGAACGCUGGCGGCGUGCCUAAUACAUGCAAGUAGAACGCUGAAGCUUGGUGCUUGCACCGAGCGGAUGAGUUGCGAACGGGUGAGUAACGCGUAGGUAACCUGCCUCUUAGCGGGGGAUAACUAUUGGAAACGAUAGCUAAUACCGCAUAAAAGUCGAUAUCGCAUGAUGUUGACUUGAAAGGUGCAAUUGCAUCACUAAGAGAUGGACCUGCGUUGUAUUAGCUAGUUGGUGAGGUAACGGCUCACCAAGGCGACGAUACAUAGCCGACCUGAGAGGGUGAUCGGCCACACUGGGACUGAGACACGGCCCAGACUCCUACGGGAGGCAGCAGUAGGGAAUCUUCGGCAAUGGGGGCAACCCUGACCGAGCAACGCCGCGUGAGUGAAGAAGGUUUUCGGAUCGUAAAGCUCUGUUGUAAGAGAAGAACGAGUGUGAGAGUGGAAAGUUCACACUGUGACGG